RNAcentral lists this ribosomal RNA (253 nucleotides) under uncultured bacterium. RNAcentral describes it as "partial 16S ribosomal RNA". It matches the Rfam family "Bacterial small subunit ribosomal RNA", at positions 524 to 776 of the family's 1533-position model. The record is from RNAcentral.
UACGAAGGGGGCUAGCGUUGCUCGGAAUCACUGGGCGUAAAGCGCACGUAGGCGGCUUUUUAAGUCAGAGGUGAAAUCCUGGAGCUCAACUCCAGAACUGCCUUUGAUACUGAGAAGCUUGAGUCCGGGAGAGGUGAGUGGAACUGCGAGUGUAGAGGUGAAAUUCGUAGAUAUUCGCAAGAACACCAAUUGCGAAGGCAGCUAACGAAACUGUAACUGACGCUGAGGCUCGAAAGUGCGGGGAUCAAACAGG